UGGGGAAUAUUGGACAAUGGGCGCAAGCCUGAUCCAGCCAUGCCGCGUGAGUGACGAAGGCCUUAGGGUUGUAAAGCUCUUUUGGCGGGGAAGAUAAUGACGGUACCCGCAGAAUAAGCUCCGGCUAACUUCGUGCCAGCAGCCGCGGUAAUACGAAGGGAGCUAGCGUUGUUCGGAAUCACUGGGCGUAAAGCGCACGUAGGUGGGCAGUUAAGUCAGGGGUGAAAGCCCGAGGCUCAACCUCGGAAUUGCCUCUGAUACUGGCUGUCUAGAGUUCGAGAGAGGUUGGUGGAAUUCCUAGUGUAGAGGUGAAAUUCGUAGAUAUUAGGAAGAACACCAGUGGCGAAGGCGGCCAACUGGCUCGAUACUGACGCUGAGGUGCGAAAGCGUGGGGAGCAAACAGGAUUAGAUACCCGCGUAGUCCCUGAGCGGGCUGGCAAGGCGCAU
RNAcentral lists this ribosomal RNA (447 nucleotides) under uncultured bacterium. Its description in RNAcentral is "bacterial SSU rRNA". It matches the Rfam family "Bacterial small subunit ribosomal RNA", at positions 355 to 825 of the family's 1533-position model. The record is from RNAcentral.